Molecule: ribosomal RNA, 605 nt
Filed under: uncultured archaeon
Lineage: Archaea
Description: bacterial SSU rRNA
Rfam family: Archaeal small subunit ribosomal RNA
Source: RNAcentral
UCCAGGCCCUACGGGGCGCAGCAGGCGCGAAAACUCCGCAAUGGGCGAAAGCCCGACGGGGUUACCCCGAGUGCCACCCUCGUGGUGGCUUUUGCCCGCUCUAAAAAGGCGGGCGAAUAAGGGGAGGGCAAGUCGGGUGUCAGCCGCCGCGGUAAUACCCGCUCCCCGAGUGGUGGAGGCUAUUACUGGGCCUAAAGCGCCCGUAGCCGGCCCGGUGUGUCCCUCGUUAAAUCCACGGGCUUAACCCGUGGGCUGCGGGGGAUACUACCGGGCUUGGGGGUGGGAGAGGCGCCCGGUAUUCCCGGGGUAGGGGUAAAAUCCUCUAAUCCCGGGAGGACCAUCAGUGGCGAAGGCGGGGCGCCAGAACACGCCCGACGGUGAGGGGCGAAAGCUGGGGGAGCAAACGGGAUUAGAUACCCCGGUAGUCCCAGCCGUAAACGAUGCGGGCUAGCUGUCGGGGCGGCUACGGGCCGCCCCGGUGGCGAAGGGAAGCCAUUAAGCCCGCCGCCUGGGGAGUACGGCCGCAAGGCUGAAACUUAAAGGAAUUGGCGGGGGAGCACCACAAGGGGUGGACGUUGCGGCUUAAUCGGAUUCAACGCCGGAAA